UUGGAGGGCAAGUCUGGUGCCAGCAGCCGCGGUAAUUCCAGCUCCAAUAGCGUAUAUUAAAGUUGUUGCAGUUAAAAAGCUCGUAGUUGAAUUUCAGGCCUGGCUGGACGGUCCGCCCUUCGGGUGAGUACUGUCUGUGGUCGGGUCCUACCUUCUGGCGAAGCGUCAUGGCCUUAACCGGCCGUGGCGGGGAACCAGGACUUUUACUGUGAAAAAAUUAGAGUGUUCAAAGCAGGCAAUCGCUUGGAUACAUUAGCAUGGAAUAAUGGAAUAGGACAAUGGUUCUAUUUGUUGGUUUCUAGGACCGUUGUAAUGAUUAAUAGGGAUAGUUGGGGGCAUUAGUAUUCAAUUGUCAGAGGUGAAAUUCUUGGAUUUAUUGAAGACUAACUACUGCGAAAGCAUUUGCCAAGGAUGUUUUCAUUAAUCAAGAACGAAAGUUAGGGGAUCGAAGACGAUCAGAUACCGUCGUAGUCUUAACCAUAAACUGUGCCGACUAGGAAUCGGGCGAUGUUGAAAAAAUGACGCGCUCGGCACCUUAUGGGAAACCAAAG
Molecule: ribosomal RNA, 551 nt
Filed under: uncultured Paraglomus
Lineage: Eukaryota; Fungi; Glomeromycota; Glomeromycetes; Paraglomerales; Paraglomeraceae
Description: SSU rRNA
Rfam family: Eukaryotic small subunit ribosomal RNA
Source: RNAcentral